GACGAACGCUGGCGGCGUGCUUAACACAUGCAAGUCGAACGGUAAGGCCCUUCGGGGUACACGAGUGGCGAACGGGUGAGUAACACGUGGGUGAUCUGCCCUGCACUUCGGGAUAAGCCUGGGAAACUGGGUCUAAUACCGGAUAGGACCCUGGGAUGCAUGUCCUGGGGUGGAAAGCUUUUGCGGGGUGGGAUGGGCCCGCGGCCUAUCAGCUUGUUGGUGGGGGGAUGGCCUACCAAGGCGACGACGGGUAGCCGGCCUGAGAGGGUGGCCGGCCACACGGGGACUGAGAUACGGCCCAGACUCCUACGGGAGGCAGCAGUGGGGAAUAUUGCACAAUGGGCGCAAGCCUGAUGCAGCGACGCCGCGUGAGGGAUGACGGCCUUCGGGUUGUAAACCUCUUUCAGCACCGACGAAGCGCAAGUGACGGUAGGUGCAGAAGAAGGACCGGCCAACUACGUGCCAGCAGCCGCGGUAA
This 478-nucleotide ribosomal RNA is filed under the name uncultured bacterium. RNAcentral's name for it is "partial 16S ribosomal RNA". It matches the Rfam family "Bacterial small subunit ribosomal RNA", at positions 28 to 523 of the family's 1533-position model. The record is from RNAcentral.